AGUAACGCGUGAGGAACCUGCCUCAAAGAGGGGGACAACAGUCGGAAACGACUGCUAAUACCGCAUAAGCCCACAGCUCGGCAUCGAGCAGAGGGAAAAGGAGUGAUCCGCUUUGAGAUGGCCUCGCGUCCGAUUAGCUAGUUGGUGAGGUAAUGGCCCACCAAGGCGACGAUCGGUAGCCGGACUGAGAGGUUGAACGGCCACAUUGGGACUGAGACACGGCCCAG
This 227-nucleotide ribosomal RNA is filed under the name uncultured bacterium. RNAcentral's name for it is "partial 16S ribosomal RNA". It matches the Rfam family "Bacterial small subunit ribosomal RNA", at positions 109 to 334 of the family's 1533-position model. The record is from RNAcentral.